Long non-coding RNA from Gasterosteus aculeatus aculeatus (three-spined stickleback), 2414 nucleotides. NCBI's taxonomy places the organism in Eukaryota, Metazoa, Chordata, Actinopteri, Perciformes, Gasterosteidae. The record is from Ensembl.
CAUUUACUGACAUACACUAACACACACGCUAACUUGAACUAACAUACGCUAACAGACACACUAACAUUUACUGACAUACACUAACACACACGCUAACUUGAACUAACAUACGCUAACAGACACACUAACAUUUACUGACAUACACUAACACACACGCUAACUUGAACUAACAUACGCUAACAGACACACUAACAUACACUGACCUACGGUAACAGACACACUAACUUGAACUAACAUACGCUAACAGACACACUAACAUUUACUGACAUACACUAACACACACGCUAACUUGAACUAACAUACGCUAACAGACACACUAACAUACACUGACAUACGGUAACAGACACACUAACUUGAACUAACAUACGCUAACAGACACACUAACUUGAACUAACAUACGCUAACAGACACGCUAACAUACACUGACAUACACUAACAGACACACUAACUUGAACUAACAUAAGCUAACAGACACGCUAACUUGAACUAACAUAAGCUAACAGAUACGCUAACUUGAACUAACAUAAGCUUACAGAUACGCUAACUUGAACUAACAUAAACUAACAGUCAAGCUAACUUAAACUAACAUACGCUAACAGACACGAAUAUUCCCCUAUAUUCUGUCCAUUCUGCACUUUCUCUAAAGUGAUAGCUGGAGGGGGGUUACACUAACAUGCUAACAUGCACGCUAACAUGCACUAACAUACAGUUUCCACCUCAGAACAUGCUUUAAUAUGCACCUGCGUUUGAUUCUAGUUCAUGAAAAAAAGGGCAAACUAUCUAUUUCGUUACGCACGUAUUCAGAGAUUGGGGUUAACUCAAUUGUACAAUCAAUACAGUUAUAAAAUUACUUCAGGAAAGCGCUGACUGAUGAUAUAACUCAGCACCUGGAAUUUUCCCUGAAGCAGUUUGUUUCAUAAUCAGCUUGGCAACAGGUUACCAUUCGACAAGGCACCAUAAACCUUAAACCCAUAGACAAGCUGCCUUUGUUUUUAUAGACCUCCACUGCUGUUGGGGCCUGGGGGGUUUACGGCUCCAUGCAAAAGCGGCAAUUAAACCAAGAAUUUUGAUAAUGGCAGUCAAAAUAAAAACAUAGCUUCAAGCAGUGGUCUCAACUUGAGGUUCAAUUUAUCAAAAGUCUGACUGAUUCAAACGUGACAUUAAGAGAGAGAUUUGUAAAGAGAAACUGGACAAUCAUAGUGAAACUUUUUUAUUUUCAUUAAAUAUAGAACUUUAGUGUUUCACAUCAGUCUCACCACCUUAUAGGAGCUGAUGGAGACCAGAAACGGAGCAAAAAGAGAAUGAAUAUUGGACCGACGACCUCAGGUGACUCGAAACACGACUGAAACCAACGGGUCUGCAGCUGUGACCCAGAGGUCACGACCUCCACUUAUGUGUUGAGUGUUUCUUCUUCCUGGCUCCUGCUUCAAGCUCCCCGUCCGACAAGUGUGUGUGUGUGUGUGUGUUAUGCAAAUCUGCCAUUAAGGCCAAACGCUGCAGUGAAUGAAGGAAUGUCGUCGUAGCAGUAGCAGAUAGUCCGGUACAGAGGGGAUGGUAGGGGGUUGGUUGGGCUGAAAGGGGAAGGAUUGUGGCAGGAAGGUUGUGUGUGUGUGUGUGUGUGUGUGUGUGUGUGUGUGUGUGUGUGUGUGUGUGUGUGUGUGUGCGUGCUUGCCAGGCUGCGCCGCUCCUCCAUCUUGACCUGUGUGUACACGCCGAGCCUUAAAGGGCCCAAAAAACAGGCCUUGACCUGCAGAGCAAAUAAAUCUUCUCCGGGGGGGUUACAGCUUCAAUUUCACCUUUCACUUACUGACACUCUCUCUCUCUCCCCUUGUCUCACACACGCACACAGAGCACACACAGGCGUGUUUGUUGCGUGUCAGUAGGGAGACGUGUGCUGUGCAGAGGACCCAGCUUUCACAGCUCGGACGGCCUGAAAAAAAUCACUUUUUAAAGAGAAGAAAAAGAAGCUGUGCAGCGUGCUUACACAGCUGCCCCGCUCAAUAAACGGCAAACAGCGAGCGAGGGUGGGCGAGGGAGGGCGAGGGCGGGCGAGGGCCGGGCAGCAUGCGCUCUGUCAUUGCGCUCUCCUUCCCUCACAGGAGCGAGUUUGUGAGUUGACGCCAACGAGCAGAAGUCCAUCACGAGGCUCCCUGGGGAAGUUCCCCCGGGUUCAUUGUUCAGGUGGUUUGCGCUCGGCACUGCGCGUCCGUGCGGAUCCGCGCGCCCGUGAGGAGAUGCCGAAGCACGAGGUGGAGCCAAAGGGCCAAAGUGUUCAAAUCCUUCAGCAGCUCUUACAGUUUUUUCACGUUUGAAUGUAGCUUAAAAUCACACAAUUAUCCAAACCGUGCACUCGAGGAGCGAAACUCGGCCCAGAUUUGCACCACUAAUGCAAAACAAUACACACACUGAAAAAA